GUGUCAGCCGCCGCGGUAAUACGAAGGGGGCUAGCGUUGUUCGGAUUUACUGGGCGUAAAGCGCACGUUGGCGGACUUUUAAGUCAGGGGUGAAAUCCCGGGGCUCAACCCCGGAACUGCCUUUGAUACUGGAAGUCUUGAGUAUGGUAGAGGUGAGUGGAAUUCCGAGUGUAGAGGUGAAAUUCGUAGAUAUUCGGAGGAACACCAGUGGCGAAGGCGGCUCACUGGACCAUUACUGACGCUGAAGUGCGAAAGCGUGGGGAGCAAACAGGAUUAGAUACCCUUGUAGUCC
This 292-nucleotide ribosomal RNA is filed under the name uncultured Brucella sp. Its description in RNAcentral is "partial 16S ribosomal RNA". It matches the Rfam family "Bacterial small subunit ribosomal RNA", at positions 505 to 796 of the family's 1533-position model. The record is from RNAcentral. Lineage: Bacteria; Pseudomonadati; Pseudomonadota; Alphaproteobacteria; Hyphomicrobiales; Brucellaceae.